This 382-nucleotide transfer-messenger RNA is filed under the name Massilicoli timonensis. RNAcentral's name for it is "Standard tmRNA". It matches the Rfam family "transfer-messenger RNA". Rfam says of the family: Bacterial tmRNA, also known as 10Sa RNA or SsrA, is named for its dual tRNA and mRNA-like properties. Its role is to liberate the mRNA from a stalled ribosome. RNAcentral also lists the same sequence under 1 other name. Lineage: Bacteria; Bacillati; Bacillota; Erysipelotrichia; Erysipelotrichales; Erysipelotrichaceae. The record is from RNAcentral.
GGGGGUGUCAUGGUUUCGACAAGGACAAGUUUGGUAUGAACGGCAAGUCGAGUGGUUACGUAAUAACCGACUAAACUUAAACGCAAAAACUAAAUUAGCUAACCUGUUUGGUGGAAACCAGGCAGUAGCUUUCGCUGCCUAAUCGCCUAAUAACUGGCUCGCAGCCGUUAGUUGAAGGAGUGUCUUUCGCCUUCUUCUGAUGUCAGAACAGAAAGAAUAAGCGUGCGAUCUCUCCUGCGUAUCGCAUGACGAAAACAAAGCGGGAAACCCGGCAUAUGCCUGUCUGUCGCUGUCUGCCGGAUCGAAAGUACAGACUAAGCUUGUAGAUGUUCAUACGUGGGACUGUUUUUGGACAGGAGUUCGACUCUCCUCACCUCCACCA